This 399-nucleotide ribosomal RNA is filed under the name uncultured bacterium. RNAcentral's name for it is "bacterial SSU rRNA". It matches the Rfam family "Bacterial small subunit ribosomal RNA", at positions 356 to 772 of the family's 1533-position model. The record is from RNAcentral.
AAGGAAUUUUCGGCAAUGGGCGCAAGCCUGACCGAGCAACGCCGCGUGCGGGAUGACGGCCUUCGGGUUGUAAACCGCUUUUCGGGGGGACGAUAGUGACGGUACCCCCGGAAUCAGCCCCGGCUAACUCUGUGCCAGCAGCCGCGGUAAGACAGAGGGGGCAAGCGUUGUCCGGAGUAACUGGGCGUAAAGCGCACGCAGGCGGCUGCGCACGUGGAGUGUGAAAGCGCUCGGCUUAACCGAGCGAGGCCAUUCCAUACGGCGCGGCUCGAGCCGUGCAGAGGCUAGUGGAAUUGCCGGUGGAGUAGUGAAAUACGUAGAUACCGGCAGGAACGCCAAUGGAGAAGUCAACUAGCUGGGCACGUGCUGACGCUGAGGUGCGACAGCGUGGGGAGCAAA